Molecule: ribosomal RNA, 2076 nt
Filed under: Triticum aestivum (bread wheat)
Lineage: Eukaryota; Viridiplantae; Streptophyta; Magnoliopsida; Poales; Poaceae
Description: partial small subunit ribosomal RNA
Source: RNAcentral
AUGGCCGGGGCAGCACCCUCGGAGGAAGCGCUCCGCCGGGCGCUGGCGGAGAGGCAGACGGCAGUGGACGCGCAGGCCGAGGCCGUGCGGUCACUCAAGGCCUCCGGUGCCAAGGAGGGCGUCGACGCGGCGGUCGAGGCGCUGAAGGCGCUGAAGAUCGAGGCUGGCGCGGCCGCGCGCAGGCUGCAAGCUGCCGUCGGGUCCGGCGGCGGCGCCGCGCGGGAGGAGAUGCGGCAGACAGUGGUGAACACCCUCGAGCGGAAGCUCUUCUACAUACCUUCGUUCAAGAUCUACCGCGGCGUCGCUGGCCUGUACGACUACGGGCCGCCCGGGUGUGCGGUCAAGUCCAACGUCCUGGCCUUCUGGAGGCAGCAUUUUGUUCUGGAGGAGAAUAUGUUGGAGGUUGACUGCCCCUGUGUGACACCUGAGGUUGUCUUAAAGGCAUCAGGGCAUGUCGAGAAGUUCACCGACCUCAUGGUUAAGGAUGAGAAGACAGGCACAUGCUAUCGUGCUGAUCACCUGUUGAAAGAUUUUUGCAAGGACAAGCUUGAGAAGGAUCUCACCUUAUCCCCUGAGACGGCUGCCGAGUUUAAGCGCGUCCUUGCUGUGUUAGAUGACCUCUCAACAGAGGAACUCGGUGCAAAGAUCAAGGAAUAUGGCAUUGUUGCCCCUGAUACAAAGAACCCACUCUCUGCUCCCUACCCAUUCAAUCUUAUGUUCCAGACAUCAAUUGGCCCAACAGGUCUUAGCGUGGGGUAUAUGAGGCCAGAGACUGCACAGGGUAUUUUUGUCAACUUCAAGGACUUGUACUACUACAAUGGCCAAAAGCUUCCCUUUGCAGCAGCUCAAAUUGGUCAAGCAUUCCGCAACGAGAUCUCUCCACGUCAAGGUCUUCUACGAGUGCGUGAAUUCACAUUGGCCGAGAUUGAGCACUUCGUAGAUCCUGAGGAUAAGUCACAUCCCAAGUUUGUUGAUGUUGCUGAUUUGGAGUUCUUGAUGUUUCCGAGAGAGCUGCAGCUCUCAGGGGAGUCAGCCAAGUUAACGAAGCUUGCAGAAGCAGUUUUGAAGGGAACUGUUAAUAAUGAGACACUUGGUUACUUUAUUGGAAGGGUCUAUCUUUUCCUGACACGUUUGGGAAUUGAUAAGAGCCGAUUGCGCUUCAGACAGCAUCUACCUAAUGAGAUGGCUCAUUAUGCUGCUGACUGCUGGGAUGCAGAGAUUGAGUGUUCUUAUGGAUGGAUAGAGUGUGUGGGCAUUGCAGAUAGAUCUGCAUAUGAUUUAAAAGCUCAUUCUGAGAAAAGUGGCGUUCCACUUGUUGCUCAUGAAAAGUUUUCAAAGCCUAGAGAAGUUGAGAAACUUUUUAUCGUGCCCUCAAAGAAAGACCUAGGGCUUGCUUUCAAGGGCAAUCAGAAGAUGGUGGUUGAAGCAUUGGAGGCUAUGAGUGAGAAGGAAGCAAUGGACAUGAAGACUGCAUUGGAAUCUAAGGGGGAGACGAACUUCCAAGUUUGCACACUUGGAAAGGACGUGGUGAUUACAAAGAAAAUGGUAUCGAUCAGUAUGGAGAAGAAGCUGGAGCACCAGCGAGUCUUCACCCCUUCAGUUGUUGAGCCCUCAUUUGGCAUAGGGAGGAUAAUCUAUUGUCUGUUUGAGCAUUCCUUCUACACAAGACCUAGCAAAUCAGAAGAGGAGCAGCUGAAUGUCUUCCGGUUCCCUCCUAUCGUGGCUCCUAUCAAGUGCACUGUGUUCCCGCUGGUAAAGAAUCAAGAGUUUGAUGGUGCCGCCAAAGUGCUUGCUAAAGAAUUAACAGCUGCAGGCAUCUCACACAUUAUUGACACGACUGGCAUUUCUAUCGGGAGGAGGUACGCAAGAACGGACGAGAUAGGUGUUCCUUUUGCAGUAACGGUUGAUUCUGCAACAGAGGUGACGAUCCGAGAGAGGGACAGCAAACAGCAGGUGAGGGUGGGCAUCGACGAGGUGGCAUCCGUGGUGAAGGAGCUGACAGAAGGCCAAAGCACCUGGACCGAUAUUUCAUUCAAGUAUCCCAGUCAUAUUGGCCCCCAAGGUGACCAGGAGUGA